Molecule: ribosomal RNA, 274 nt
Filed under: uncultured bacterium
Lineage: Bacteria
Description: partial 16S ribosomal RNA
Rfam family: Bacterial small subunit ribosomal RNA
Source: RNAcentral
AUACGGAGGGUGCAAGCGUUACUCGGAAUCACUGGGCGUAAAGCGCGCGCAGGCGGCUAUUUAAGUUGGAUGUGAAAGCCUACGGCUCAACCGUAGAACUGCAUCCAAAACUAUUUAGCUAGAGUGUGGGAGAGGAAGAUGGAAUUAGUUGUGUAGGGGUAAAAUCCGUAGAGAUAACUAGGAAUACCAAAAGCGAAGGCAAUCUUCUGGAACACUACUGACGCUGAGGCGCGAAAGCGUGGGUAGCGAACGGGAUUAGAAACCCUAGUAGUCC